ACUCCCAAUCCUUGUACCAGU
Molecule: microRNA, 21 nt
Filed under: Oryzias latipes (Japanese medaka)
Lineage: Eukaryota; Metazoa; Chordata; Actinopteri; Beloniformes; Adrianichthyidae
Description: ola-miR-150
Gene: ola-miR-150
Source: miRBase by way of RNAcentral